This 504-nucleotide ribosomal RNA is filed under the name uncultured bacterium. RNAcentral's name for it is "partial 16S ribosomal RNA". It matches the Rfam family "Bacterial small subunit ribosomal RNA", at positions 28 to 506 of the family's 1533-position model. The record is from RNAcentral.
GACGAACGCUGGCGGCGUGCCUAAUACAUGCAAGUAGAACGCACAGUUUAUACCGUAGCUUGCUACACCAUAGACUGUGAGUUGCGAACGGGUGAGUAACGCGUAGGUAACCUGCCUGGUAGCGGGGGAUAACUAUUGGAAACGAUAGCUAAUACCGCAUAAUAUUGAUUAUUGCAUGUUAAUUGAUUGAAAGAUGCUAUUGAAUCACUACCAGAUGGACCUGCGUUGUAUUAGCUAGUAGGUGAGGUAACGGCUCACCUAGGCGACGAUACAUAGCCGACCUGAGAGGGUGAUCGGCCACACUGGGACUGAGACACGGCCCAGACUCCUACGGGAGGCAGCAGUAGGGAAUCUUCGGCAAUGGACGAAAGUCUGACCGAGCAACGCCGCGUGAGUGAAGAAGGUUUUCGGAUCGUAAAGCUCUGUUGUAAGAGAAGAACGGGUGUGAGAGUGGAAAGUUCACACUGUGACGGUAUCUUACCAGAAAGGGACGGCUAACUACGU